Musa acuminata AAA Group (dessert banana) is the source of this 288-nucleotide long non-coding RNA. RefSeq lists it as uncharacterized. The record is from RefSeq and is a predicted model, not a curated record. Lineage: Eukaryota; Viridiplantae; Streptophyta; Magnoliopsida; Zingiberales; Musaceae. The transcript is spliced from 3 exons.
CGAAGACGGGCCUAAAGCUGAAGUCAAAGGGCAUUUCUUCGUCGGACGGCCGUGAUCGUAUCUCCUCUCUCGUGAUGGCAUCACUGCAGGAGAGGCGCCUUCUUCCAGAAAGUGGCUGCCGGCAAAGCUAUUAGUCAAAAGCACGAUAGGAAAAGGGCGUGGGUCAAGUUGACGUUGGAGAAUAUGCUUUAAACCUAUAAACAAAGGCAAAUGGUGGGAUAGAGUACGGAUCAUUCGCUGGAAUCAAGACGCUUCCAUGAUUGAUUAAUCGCAAUUGUGACCAUUGCU